AGUAGGGAAUCUUCCGCAAUGGACGAAAGUCUGACGGAGCAACGCCGCGUGAGUGAUGAAGGCUUUCGGGUCGUAAAACUCUGUUGUUAGGGAAGAACAAGUGCUAGUUGAAUAAGCUGGCACCUUGACGGUACCUAACCAGAAAGCCACGGCUAACUACGUGCCAGCAGCCGCGGUAAUACGUAGGUGGCAAGCGUUAUCCGGAAUUAUUGGGCGUAAAGCGCGCGCAGGUGGUUUCUUAAGUCUGAUGUGAAAGCCCACGGCUCAACCGUGGAGGGUCAUUGGAAACUGGGAGACUUGAGUGCAGAAGAGGAAAGUGGAAUUCCAUGUGUAGCGGUGAAAUGCGUAGAGAUAUGGAGGAACACCAGUGGCGAAGGCGACUUUCUGGUCUGUAACUGACACUGAGGCGCGAAAGCGUGGGGAGCAAACAGGAUUAGAUACCCUGGUAGUCCACGCCGUAAACGAUGAGUGCUAAGUGUUAGAGGGUUCCGCC
RNAcentral lists this ribosomal RNA (493 nucleotides) under Bacillus cereus. RNAcentral describes it as "bacterial SSU rRNA". It matches the Rfam family "Bacterial small subunit ribosomal RNA", at positions 353 to 837 of the family's 1533-position model. The record is from RNAcentral. Lineage: Bacteria; Bacillati; Bacillota; Bacilli; Caryophanales; Bacillaceae.